AGUUGAUCGAUGGAGAGUAUUUUCACUAUUUUGAUUUUCGUCCUUCUGAAAAUACAGUAUUAUUCUAACUGCGCGUAUAAAUCAAUAAAGACCGAAGCCAUUAAUAGAAAAAGACAUGAAUGGAGCUUGACGGCCACAAGAACAAAGCAUGUAAGUCAUUGAAAUGAUUUAUCAAUUCUUGUUGUAUAAUUGUGAAUUUGUGUUGCAACUGACUAUCUAGAUUAUUCUUUAAAACACGAGUAUUAUAACAAUCCCCAGUAAGUAAAAUUAAGCGAAUAUAGCUUGUUGAAAACCGUACUGCUAUAAAUUUUCCUGAGCCGACAAAGGUUUUUUUAGAGAUUUUAAUACCAGUUUAUUCUAUUAGUAUUAAAAUUGUGGGGAAAAGCAACUCUUUGGAAUAUAAAGCACUUAUAUCACCAUUAAAGUUUUUUACACCUGUAUGUAUUCCGCUUUCAGGUAUGAAUUUAUCAAGAAAAUAUGGGAUAUCUGUACUAUAUACAGGGUGGCAAUGAAGAAAGUCCAGUGUAUUUCUUUAGAAUGGUCUUCCUUGUAAAAGGUGAUGGCACUAUUUCAUUGAACAUUCAAGGAACAAUUGCCUUUUAAAACAAAUAUGCACAUUUUUAUGCUUGAUUUACAAUGUUUGAUAUCUGCAUUUUAUGCGAUUCAUACCUUAUUUGUAAGUGUUCCUCGAAUAUUGAUUCAAUACAUUUAAUACCUCGGGCUGACCAAUAGCUGUUAUCGUAAUUGAAUACGCCGCUGCGGCGAACCAGCGGUAUCUCAGUGGAAGUACGC
Non-coding RNA from Paramuricea clavata, 792 nucleotides. NCBI's taxonomy places the organism in Eukaryota, Metazoa, Cnidaria, Anthozoa, Malacalcyonacea, Plexauridae. The record is from the annotation of a GenBank genome assembly.